RNAcentral lists this ribosomal RNA (397 nucleotides) under uncultured bacterium. RNAcentral describes it as "bacterial SSU rRNA". It matches the Rfam family "Bacterial small subunit ribosomal RNA", at positions 29 to 426 of the family's 1533-position model. The record is from RNAcentral.
AUUGAACGCUGGCGGCGUGCCUAACACAUGCAAGUCGAGCGGUAACAGGUGUAGCGAUACAUGCUGACGAGCGGCGGACGGGUGAGUAACGCUUGGGAAUCUGCCUGUUAGUGGGGGACAACCCGGGGAAACUCGGGCUAAUACCGCAUACGCACUACGGUGGAAAGCCGGGGACCGCAAGGCCUGGCGCUAACAGAUGAGCCCAAGUCGGAUUAGCUAGUUGGUAGGGUAACGGCCACCAAGGCGACGAUCCGUAACUGGUCUGAGAGGACGACCAGUCACACCGGAACUGAGACACGGUCCGGACUCCUACGGGAGGCAGCAGUGGGGAAUAUUGGACAAUGGGCGAAAGCCUGAUCCAGCGACGCCGCGUGGGUGAAGAAGGCCUGCGGGUUGU